RNAcentral lists this non-coding RNA (112 nucleotides) under uncultured Johnsonella sp. RNAcentral's name for it is "FMN riboswitch (RFN element)". It matches the Rfam family "FMN riboswitch aptamer (RFN element)". Rfam says of the family: The RFN element is a highly conserved domain that is found frequently in the 5'-untranslated regions of prokaryotic mRNAs that encode for flavin mononucleotide (FMN) biosynthesis and transport proteins. This element is a metabolite-dependent riboswitch that directly binds FMN in the absence of proteins. Lineage: Bacteria; Bacillati; Bacillota; Clostridia; Lachnospirales; Lachnospiraceae. The record is from RNAcentral.
UUCUUCGGGGCGGGGUGCAAGUCCCCACCGGCAGUUAAAGUCUGCGAGCUGCUGUAGGCAGUUGAUUUGGUGUAAUUCCAAAACCGACGGUAUAGUCCGGAUGGGAGGAGGA